Molecule: small RNA, 562 nt
Filed under: Pongo abelii (Sumatran orangutan)
Lineage: Eukaryota; Metazoa; Chordata; Mammalia; Primates; Hominidae
Description: retained intron
Source: RNAcentral
CAUGAUUGCAGCCCCUGACCCUGAGAAGAUGUUCCAGCUGAGCCGGGCUGAGCUAGCCGUGUUCCACCGGGAUGUCCACAUGCUCCUGGUGGAUCUGGAGCUGCUGCUGGGCAUAGCCAAGGGCCUCGGGAAGGACAACCAGCGCAGCUUCCAGGCCCUGUACACAGCCAAUCAGAUGGUGAACGUGUGUGACCCUGCCCAGCCUGAGACCUUCCCAGUGGCCCAGGCCCUGGCCUCCAGGUUCUUUGGCCAACAUGGAGGUGAAAGCCAACACACAAUUCAUGCCACAGGGCACUGCCACAUUGAUACAGGUAGGACAGCAGCUGGUUGGGCUGGUUGGGGAAGCAGGAGUGCCCUUGAAGACCUGGAUGUGCCCUAGAAGCACUGUGUGAUGCUCAGCAAGUUCUUGUUCCUCUUGGACCCGCAUUUUGCCCAUCUGUAAAAUGGGGCUCGGGGGCUGGACUGUGGGCUCUGCUUGCUUUGGAUUCACUUAUUCUUUUUUUUUUUUUGAGACGGAGUCUCACUCUUGUCACCCAGGGUGGAGUGCAAUGGCGUGAUCUCG